AGAGUUUGAUCAUAGCUCAGGAUAAACGCUAGCGGUGCGCCUAACACAUGCAAGUCGAGCGGAGUUUCAGGAAGCUUGCUUUCUGAAACUUAGCGGCAAACGGGUGCGUAACACGUUGAUAUCUCCCCCGAAGUCAGGAAUAACUCUACGAAAGUAGGGCUAAUACCGGAUAGUCUCGAAAGAGUAAAGUAGCAAUACGCUUCGGGAAGAGUCUGCGGCCUAUCAGCUAGUUGGCGGGGUAAAAGCCCACCAAGGCUAUGACGGGUAGCUGGUCUGAGAGGACGAUCAGCCACAAUGGAACUGAGACACGGUCCAUACUCCUACGGGAGGCAGCAGUGAGGAAUCUUCCACAAUGGGCGAAAGCCUGAUGGAGCGACACCGCGUGAAGGAUGAAGCCUUUGUUGGUGUAAACUUCUUUUUUCUCCGAAGAUAAUGACGGUAGGAGAAGAAUAAGGGGCGGCAAACUAUGUGCCAGCAGCCGCGGUGAUACAUAGGCCCCAAGCGUUAUCCAGAAUUACUGGGCGUAAAGCGUCCGCAGGUUGUUUGGAAAGUCUCGGAUGAAAGGAUAGAGCUCAACUCUAUUUUGUGCGGGAAACUUCCAAACUUGAGUAUGGGAGAGGUAAGCGGAACGGUAUGAGUAGGAGUGCAAUCCAUUGAUACAUACCAGAACACCAAAAGCGAAGGCAGCUUACUGGAACAUUACUGACACUCAUGGACGAAAGCGUGGGGAGCGAAAGGGAUUAGAUACCCCUGUAGUCCACGCCCUAAACGAUGGAUGCUAAGUGUCGGGGACAAAGUUCGUUAUCUAUAACUGAUUUUGUCCCCGGUGCUUCAAGCUAACGCAUUAAGCAUCCCGCCUGAGAAGUACGACCGCAAGGUUAAAACUCAAAUGAAUAGACGGGGACCCACACAAGCAGUGGAUCAUGGGGUUUAAUUCGACAAUAAACGAGGAACCUCACCUAGGCUUGACAUUGAUAGAAUCCUGCAGAAAUGCGGGAGUGCCCGUAAGGGAACUUGAAAACAGGUGUUGCAUGGUUGUCGUCAGCUCGUGCCUUGAGGUGUUCGGUUAAGUCCGUUAACGAGCGUAACCCACGUUGUAUGUUACUUUUUCAUACAAGACUGCUUGAGUUAAUCAAGAGGAAGGUGUGGAUGACGUCAAAUCAGCAUGACCCUUAUGCCUAGGGCUACACCCAUGAUACAAUGGUCGGUACAAAGAGUAGCAACAUCGCGAGAUGAAGCCAAUCUCAUAAAGCCGAUCUCAGUCCAGAUUGGAGGCUGCAACUCGCCUCCAUGAAGUUGGAAUUGCUAGUAAUCGUGAAUCAGACAUGUCACGGUGAAUCCGUUCCUGGGUCUUGUACUCACCGCCCGUCAAAGCAUGGGAGGUGUCUGUACUGGAAGCCCUUCGAGUAAUACGGAGGUCCAUGGUAAAGACACUGACUGGGCUUAAGUCGUAACAAGGUAUCCGUACGAGAACGUGCGGAUG
RNAcentral lists this ribosomal RNA (1483 nucleotides) under Patescibacteria group bacterium UBA5532. RNAcentral's name for it is "bacterial SSU rRNA". It matches the Rfam family "Bacterial small subunit ribosomal RNA". The record is from RNAcentral.